RNAcentral lists this ribosomal RNA (764 nucleotides) under uncultured Gammaproteobacteria bacterium. Its description in RNAcentral is "bacterial SSU rRNA". It matches the Rfam family "Bacterial small subunit ribosomal RNA", at positions 57 to 817 of the family's 1533-position model. Lineage: Bacteria; Pseudomonadati; Pseudomonadota; Gammaproteobacteria. The record is from RNAcentral.
GCAAGUCGUGCGAGAAAGUUCUUCGGAUAUGAGUAGAGCGGCGGACGGGUGAGUAACGCGUAGGAAUCUACCUAGUAGAAGGGGAUAGCCCGGGGAAACCCGGAUUAAUACCGUAUACCUCCUUCGGGAGAAAGAAGGCCUCUCUUUGAAGCUUUCGCUACUAGAUGAGCCUGCGUAAGAUUAGCUUGUUGGUGAGGUAAAGGCUCACCAAGGCAACGAUCUUUAGCUGGUCUGAGAGGACGAUCAGCCACAUUGGGACUGAGACACGGCCCAGACUCCUACGGGAGGCAGCAGUGGGGAAUAUUGGACAAUGGGCGCAAGCCUGAUCCAGCCAUACCGCGUGUGUGAAGAAGGCCUUCGGGUUGUAAAGCACUUUAAGCAGGGAGAAAAAGUUAUAAGUUAAUACCUUAUAGCCUUGAUGUUACCUGCAGAAUAAGCACCGGCUAAUUCCGUGCCAGCAGCCGCGGUAAUACGGAAGGUGCAAGCGUUAAUCGGAAUUACUGGGCGUAAAGCGCGCGUAGGUGGUUUGUUAAGUUGGAUGUGAAAGCCCUGGGCUCAACCUAGGAACUGCAUCCAAAACUAACUCACUAGAGUACGAUAGAGGGAGGUAGAAUUCAUAGUGUAGCGGUGGAAUGCGUAGAUAUUAUGAAGAAUACCAGUGGCGAAGGCGGCCUCCUGGAUCUGUACUGACACUGAGGUGCGAAAGCGUGGGUAGCGAACAGGAUUAGAUACCCUGGUAGUCCACGCCGUAAACGAUGACAACU